RNAcentral lists this ribosomal RNA (2849 nucleotides) under Burkholderia cepacia. RNAcentral describes it as "bacterial LSU rRNA". It matches the Rfam family "Bacterial large subunit ribosomal RNA". Lineage: Bacteria; Pseudomonadati; Pseudomonadota; Betaproteobacteria; Burkholderiales; Burkholderiaceae. The record is from RNAcentral.
CAAGCGAACAAGUGCAUGUGGUGGAUGCCUUGGCGAUCACAGGCGAUGAAGGACGCGGUAGCCUGCGAAAAGCUACGGGGAGCUGGCAAACGAGCUUUGAUCCGUAGAUGUCCGAAUGGGGAAACCCGGCCCUUUUGGGUCAUCCUAGACUGAAUACAUAGGUCUAGUGAAGCGAACGCGGUGAACUGAAACAUCUAAGUAACCGCAGGAAAAGAAAUCAACCGAGAUUCCCAAAGUAGUGGCGAGCGAAAUGGGAUGAGCCUUGCACUCUUUAUUUGUAUUGUUAGCCGAACGCUCUGGAAAGUGCGGCCAUAGCAGGUGAUAGCCCUGUAGGCGAAAACAGUAUGAAAGAACUAGGUGUGCGACAAGUAGGGCGGGACACGUGAAAUCCUGUCUGAAGAUGGGGGGACCAUCCUCCAAGGCUAAAUACUCGUGAUCGACCGAUAGUGAACCAGUACCGUGAGGGAAAGGCGAAAAGAACCCCGGGAGGGGAGUGAAAUAGAUCCUGAAACCGCAUGCAUACAAACAGUCGGAGCCUCGCAAGGGGUGACGGCGUACCUUUUGUAUAAUGGGUCAGCGACUUACGUUCAGUAGCAAGCUUAACCGUAUAGGGCAGGCGUAGCGAAAGCGAGUCCGAAUAGGGCGUUCAGUUGCUGGGCGUAGACCCGAAACCAGGUGAUCUAUCCAUGGCCAGGAUGAAGGUGCGGUAACACGUACUGGAGGUCCGAACCCACUAACGUUGAAAAGUUAGGGGAUGAGCUGUGGAUAGGGGUGAAAGGCUAAACAAACCUGGAAAUAGCUGGUUCUCUCCGAAAACUAUUUAGGUAGUGCCUCGUGUCUCACCUUCGGGGGUAGAGCACUGUCAUGGUUGGGGGGUCUAUUGCAGAUUACCCCGCCAUAGCAAACUCCGAAUACCGAAGAGUGCAAUCACGGGAGACAGACAUCGGGUGCUAACGUCCGGUGUCAAGAGGGAAACAACCCAGACCGCCAGCUAAGGUCCCCAAAUAUAGCUAAGUGGGAAACGAAGUGGGAAGGCUAAAACAGUCAGGAGGUUGGCUUAGAAGCAGCCACCCUUUAAAGAAAGCGUAAUAGCUCACUGAUCGAGUCGUCCUGCGCGGAAGAUGUAACGGGGCUAAGCUAUAUACCGAAGCUGCGGAUGCGAGCUUGCUCGCAUGGUAGGAGAGCGUUCCGUAAGCCUGCGAAGGUGCCUUGUAAAGGGUGCUGGAGGUAUCGGAAGUGCGAAUGCUGACAUGAGUAGCGAUAAAGGGGGUGAAAGGCCCCCUCGCCGUAAGCCCAAGGUUUCCUACGCAACGUUCAUCGGCGUAGGGUGAGUCCGGCCCCUAAGGCGAGGCAGAAAUGCGUAGCUGAUGGGAAGCAGGUCAAUAUUCCUGCACCAUUGUUAGAUGCGAUGGGGGGACGGAUCGCGGAAGGUUGUCCGGGUGUUGGAAGUCCCGGUCGCUGCAUUGGAGAAGGCGCUUAGGCAAAUCCGGGCGCAGGAUUCAAGGGUGUGGCGCGAGCUCCUUAGGGAGCGAAGCAAUUGGAAGUGGUUCCAAGAAAAGCCUCUAAGCUUCAGUCUAACGAUGACCGUACCGCAAACCGACACAGGUGGGCGAGAUGAGUAUUCUAAGGCGCUUGAGAGAACUCGGGAGAAGGAACUCGGCAAAUUGGGUACCGUAACUUCGGGAUAAGGUACGCCCUUGUAGCUUGACUGGCCUGCGCCAGGAGGGUGAAGGGGUUGCAAUAAACUGGUGGCUGCGACUGUUUAAUAAAAACACAGCACUCUGCAAACACGAAAGUGGACGUAUAGGGUGUGACGCCUGCCCGGUGCCGGAAGAUUAAAUGAUGGGGUGCAAGCUCUUGAUUGAAGUCCCGGUAAACGGCGGCCGUAACUAUAACGGUCCUAAGGUAGCGAAAUUCCUUGUCGGGUAAGUUCCGACCUGCACGAAUGGCGUAACGAUGGCCACACUGUCUCCUCCCGAGACUCAGCGAAGUUGAAGUGUUUGUGAUGAUGCAAUCUACCCGCGGCUAGACGGAAAGACCCCAUGAACCUUUACUGUAGCUUUGCAUUGGACUUUGAACCGAUCUGUGUAGGAUAGGUGGGAGGCUAUGAAACCGGAACGCUAGUUUCGGUGGAGCCGUCCUUGAAAUACCACCCUGGUUUGUUUGAGGUUCUAACCUUGGCCCGUGAUCCGGGUCGGGGACAGUGCAUGGUAGGCAGUUUGACUGGGGCGGUCUCCUCCCAAAGCGUAACGGAGGAGUACGAAGGUACGCUAGGUACGGUCGGAAAUCGUGCUGAUAGUGCAAUGGCAUAAGCGUGCUUAACUGCGAGACCGACAAGUCGAGCAGGUGCGAAAGCAGGUCAUAGUGAUCCGGUGGUUCUGUAUGGAAGGGCCAUCGCUCAACGGAUAAAAGGUACUCUGGGGAUAACAGGCUGAUACCGCCCAAGAGUUCAUAUCGACGGCGGUGUUUGGCACCUCGAUGUCGGCUCAUCUCAUCCUGGGGCUGUAGCCGGUCCCAAGGGUAUGGCUGUUCGCCAUUUAAAGAGGUACGUGAGCUGGGUUUAAAACGUCGUGAGACAGUUUGGUCCCUAUCUGCCGUGGGCGUUGGAUAUUUGAAGGGGGCUGCUCCUAGUACGAGAGGACCGGAGUGGACGAACCUCUGGUGUACCGGUUGUCACGCCAGUGGCAUCGCCGGGUAGCUAUGUUCGGAAGAGAUAACCGCUGAAAGCAUCUAAGCGGGAAACUCGCCUUAAGAUGAGAUAUCCCUGGGGACUAGAUCCCCUUGAAGGGUCGUUCGAGACCAGGACGUUGAUAGGUCAGGUGUGUAAGCGCAGUAAUGCGUUCAGCUAA